CAAAAACUGUUGGCUUAAAUGGGCCAACAUCCUACACUGUGACGGGAGACCAUAUAGAUCGAGUCAUGUUCGAAAUGGCGUAAGACUGGGUUGGGCUGAGUCAUAUUCGAAGUGGCGUGAGGCUGGUUGGACCGAGUCACAAUCGAGACCUGUGGGCGCUAUUUCUGUAUGCUUUAAGUGAAUUGAUUGUGUAUUUCUAACAGCUUGAGCUUUUAGGAUUAAUGGUUAGCACCAACAAUCCGACACGUGGUAUUAGAACCAAAAGUCACUAAUUUGAUUCCCGCAUGCUGUAAAUAUGUUCAGCUGCUGGAUGGGGGAUUGUUGGCUUAAAUGGGCCAACAUACCUCUCUGUGGUGGGAGGUCAUGUGGACCAAGUCACAAUCGACACCCGUGGGCACUGUAUCUGUACGGUUUAAAUAUCCGUGGGCGCUGCCUUUGGAAUUAAUGGUUAGCAUCAACGAGCUAACAAAAACCUCUCAAGUGAUAACAAAUCCUCUCUCUCUCUCUCUCUCUCUCUCUCUCUCUCUCUCUCUCUAA
RNAcentral lists this long non-coding RNA (537 nucleotides) under Ananas comosus (pineapple). Its description in RNAcentral is "long non-coding RNA (ACOM_LNC023741)". The record is from RNAcentral. Lineage: Eukaryota; Viridiplantae; Streptophyta; Magnoliopsida; Poales; Bromeliaceae.